GAUGAAGAACGUAGCGAAAUGCGAUAAGUAGUGUGAAUUGCAGAAUUCAGUGAAUCAUCGAAUCUUGAACGCACAUUGCGCCCUUUGGUAUUCCUUAGGGCAUGCCUGUUCGAGCGUCAUUUAAACCUUCAAGCUAAGCUUGGUGUUGGGUGACUGUCCGCUUCACGGCGGACUCGCCUCAAAAUUAUUGGCGGCCGGUACAUUGGCUUCGAGCGCAGCAGAAACGCGAACUCGGGCCCGUCGUAUUGGCUCCCAGAAGCUAUCUUCACAAUUUUGACCUCGGAUCAGGUAGGGAUACCCGCUGAACUUAAGCAUAUCAAUAAGCGGAGGA
RNAcentral lists this unclassified non-coding RNA (331 nucleotides) under soil metagenome. RNAcentral's name for it is "partial contains 5.8S ribosomal RNA, internal transcribed spacer 2, and large subunit ribosomal RNA". The stretch from base 1 to 119 matches the Rfam family "5.8S ribosomal RNA", at positions 35 to 154 of the family's 154-position model. The record is from RNAcentral.